Molecule: ribosomal RNA, 434 nt
Filed under: Neriene macella
Lineage: Eukaryota; Metazoa; Arthropoda; Arachnida; Araneae; Linyphiidae
Description: partial 16S ribosomal RNA
Rfam family: Bacterial large subunit ribosomal RNA
Source: RNAcentral
GAACUGCUCCAUGUAAAAUAAAUAGCCGCAGUAAUUUCACUGUGCUAAGGUAGCAUAAUCAUUUGCCUUUUAAUUGAAGGCUAGAAUGAAAGAUUUAACUUUUUAAUUUCUUUUUUUAACUAUUAUAUUAAAUUUAUAUUAAGAAUAAAAAUAUUCUUAUAAUUUAAAAAGACGACAAGACCCUAUUGAACUUUACUAAAGUUUAGCUGGGGAAGCUAAUUAAAUAUAAUUUUAAUUUCUUUAUAAAAAGAAAAAUCCAUUAAAAAUGAUUUAACAAGUUACCAUAGGGAUAACAGCAUAAUAUUUUUUAAAAGCUCUUAUUUAAAAAAAAGUUUAUGACCUCGAUGUUGAAUUAAUUUUACUUUAAAACGCAAUUGUAUUAAAAGUAGGUCUGUUCGACCUUUAAAUUAUUACAUGAUCUGAGUCAAAACCGG